Molecule: transfer RNA, 82 nt
Filed under: Endomicrobium sp.
Lineage: Bacteria; Pseudomonadati; Elusimicrobiota; Endomicrobiia; Endomicrobiales; Endomicrobiaceae
Description: tRNA-Leu
Rfam family: tRNA
About the family: Transfer RNA (tRNA) molecules are approximately 80 nucleotides in length. Their secondary structure includes four short double-helical elements and three loops (D, anti-codon, and T loops).
Source: RNAcentral
GCUGAGGUGGCGGAAUUGGUAUACGCGCACGUUUGAGGGGCGUGUCCUAAUUGGAUUGCGGGUUCAAAUCCCGCCCUCAGCA